CGUAGGGUGCGAGCGUUAAUCGGAAUUGCUGGGCGUAAAGCGUGCGCAGGCGGUUUAGUAAGACAGGCGUGAAAUCCCCGGGCUCAACCUGGGAACUGCGCUUGUGACUGCUAAGCUAGAGUACGGCAGAGGGGGGUGGAAUUCCACGUGUAGCAGUGAAAUGCGUAGAGAUGUGGAGGAACACCAAUGGCGAAGGCAGCCCCCUGGGUCGAUACUGACGCUCAUGCACGAAAGCGUGGGUAGCAAACAGGAUUAGAUACCCUGGUAGUCCACGCCCUAAACGAUGUCAACUAGGUGUUGGGAGGGUAAAACCUUUUAGUACCGGAGCUAACGCGUGAAGUUGACCGCCUGGGGAGUACGGCCGCAAGGUUA
Molecule: ribosomal RNA, 372 nt
Filed under: uncultured organism
Description: bacterial SSU rRNA
Rfam family: Bacterial small subunit ribosomal RNA
Source: RNAcentral